CCUUAAACAACCCCUCAGACACCCUUUUAAGCUUAGCCUGAGACCAUCAGCCCCUACCUGAGCUUUUUGGAGGAGUGCUGGUCUCUAGCUCAGCUGUGCCUGGCUGUGGAGUCCUUUCCUCCUGAGCUUUGAGUUGCUCCUUACUGGCUCCUCUUUCCCUGGAGGCAGCAAAGCGGCAAAGGAUGACAGACAUGAAGAUUCAUGGUUCAGUUUUGUCUAGAGGACUUUGCCCACAAAUAAAGACAAUCCCAUAUUCAGUGUUUCACCUCAUUGGAUUGAGCCUGCAAAGUACUUCUUAUCUAGGUCAAGAGGAAUAAGACUGAAACUGGAUGGUGUUUCUGCAGUAGAAUUCCAGAAACAUCAUUUUGACUUACUUUUGUGUGUGUGUGUGCAUGUGACUGCAUCCAGUCCAUUCCACAAUAUUAAGGAAUUGGUUUGGCCUCAGUAUUACCAGGACUGGGUAGCAAGUCCCAAAUCUGAAAACAAGGAACAGCUAUCUGCACUUGCACAUCCUCUCUGUGCUCCCAUGGUGAGCUGCCUAAGAGGCAUGUACCAGAUGGUCAGCUAAGAGGGUGAGAUGAUAGAAAAGUUGGUGAAGGAAGCUUCAGUCCUUCUUCUUCCUAACCUGCACCUUCUCAAAAGAUGCAUUCGGAUGGGGAGGAAAUAAGGUGGAGCAUAUAUCUCCUUAUUCAACAUGGAUAGGAAGAAGGCCCUUUGAAGUUGGGAGAGUAGUGUGGGGAGGAAGAGGAUAAAGAGACAAAACAAACAGCAACAGGAUAAGUCCUGGGAAUGGGUGAGUGGAAUGAAGAAGUAAUUAAAGUGUAAGUCAAAAGGAUGUUUAAAAUAACAAAAGCUUAUAGGCAGCGUGCAGGAACAAAAGAGGAAAUGUACAGUGGGUGCCAUGAGUUUGGCUUCCAUAAACCAGACUGAAGCUAUCUUGUUUGCUUCAUUCUACAAUCCAUAGCAAUUCAGGGAAGUAAUUCUGCAUCUCUUGACUUCCGUGUGAUUAAAAUGUUCUUGGCAUCUGCUUCGUUUUUAAUGCGAUUGGUUUUGUAACAUAAUUAGAAUGGAUUUUACAGCUUUGUGUACUUUUAUUUAAGAAACAACAGAACUAGUACACAGUUGUGUGUUUUUUUUUUGUUGUUUUUUUUGUUUGUUUGUUUUGUUUUGUUUUUUUUCCUAGAGAAGUAUCUCUAAAGCAUUAUACCAGAAUGGCACUACAGUAUUGAUAAUAAGAUCAUGCAUAGCAAGCGUUGCAGAACAGACUCUUAAUUUCACCACACAAUGCUUUUGACUCAACAAAAAGGCACAACCUGUGUUUUGUUAGCCCCACCGAUCUCAGUGUGCAAGCUGUUCGUAGGAUCAGAUGUACAAAAUGAAGGCUGAUGUUGGUGGGUGGGGUGGGAGGUGUGUAUAUGGGUUAUGUUAAAAUUAUGAGCUUUUAUGACUCUGUAAUAUGAACUUAUUUUUUUCUUCAUUUGAAGCUUACUGGUGAGACCAUAGUAAGACUGUUAGGUACACUAUGGUUGAGUGGUCCCACUAAGCCAACGGGAUUAACUUGUGCAUUC
Molecule: long non-coding RNA, 1568 nt
Organism: Anser brachyrhynchus (Pink-footed goose)
Lineage: Eukaryota; Metazoa; Chordata; Aves; Anseriformes; Anatidae
Source: Ensembl